GAUGCAGCGACGCCGCGUGAGGGAUGACGGCCUUCGGGUUGUAAACCUCUUUCAGCAGGGAAGAAGCGCAAGUGACGGUACCUGCAGAAGAAGCACCGGCUAACUACGUGCCAGCAGCCGCGGUAAUACGUAGGGUGCGAGCGUUGUCCGGAAUUAUUGGGCGUAAAGAGCUCGUAGGCGGCCUGUCGCGUCGGAUGUGAAAGCCCGGGGCUUAACCCCGGGUCUGCAUUCGAUACGGGCAGGCUAGAGUGUGGUAGGGGAGAUCGGAAUUCCUGGUGUAGCGGUGAAAUGCGCAGAUAUCAGGAGGAACACCGGUGGCGAAGGCGGAUCUCUGGGCCAUUACUGACGCUGAGGAGCGAAAGCGUGGGGAGCGAACAGGAUUAGAUACCCUGGUAGUCCACGCCGUAAACGUUGGGAACUAGGUGUUGGCGACAUUCCACGUCGUCGGUGCCGCAGCUAACGCAUUAAGUUCCCCGCCUGGGGAGUACGGCCGCAAGGCUAAAACUCAAAGGAAUUGACGGGGGCCCGCACAAGCAGCGGAGCAUGUGGCUUAAUUCGACGCAACGCGAAGAACCUUACCAAGGCUUGACAUACGCCGGAAACUGGUAGAGAUAUCAGCCCCCUUG
The sequence is a ribosomal RNA, 626 nucleotides long. It matches the Rfam family "Bacterial small subunit ribosomal RNA", at positions 385 to 1020 of the family's 1533-position model.